Molecule: non-coding RNA, 72 nt
Organism: Bos taurus (domestic cattle)
Lineage: Eukaryota; Metazoa; Chordata; Mammalia; Artiodactyla; Bovidae
Source: Rfam
UCCUUGCUGGCUCUGAAGGUAAAGAAUCUACCUGAAAUGAAGGAGACCCAGGUUCAAUCCCUGGGUCAGGAA